This 1212-nucleotide long non-coding RNA is filed under the name Parus major (Great Tit). RNAcentral's name for it is "lncRNA (ENSPMJG00000018866.1)". The record is from RNAcentral. Lineage: Eukaryota; Metazoa; Chordata; Aves; Passeriformes; Paridae.
AUGUCAAGGAUCAGCCAUCAUUGCUCAAGGAGGUCCUGGGGGGGCUGCAGGACCACCACCACCAACAGAAGCACCACCAGCACCCCUGACCUGAACACACAGAUUGGCUACAGCCCAGGAGGACACUCGGUCCUUGGAAACACCUCUGUCCCAGGACACAAACCAUCCUGGGACAAAACUCCCUCUGUCCCGGGACUGAAUGCCCCUCCAACCCAGCGCACACCACGUCUGCUCCCGAUGUCCACCUGGAGCAUCCCCCAGCAGGGCUCCAGAGCCUCUUUGAGGUCAGAAAUGCAGUUUUCCCACACUUUUGCACCUGACAAAGAUUCCCCACGUGGCUCCAAGCUUUUUCUCAAGCUGGGCCUGGCUGGGAAGGACCCAGCCCUGCACUGGGAGAAGCAGGGACGCUGCCCACCACAGGGAUCCCAGGCAGAAGCUCCAGCAUUCCCUCCCUGGCUUCCCCGGCUCAUCCCCGGGAGGCGAAGGGUUAACAGUGCCCCAGGAGGAGCCGUGGGUGGUGGCCAGGGUUCCCCAGCUGUCACUUCGAGGUCACCAGGGACGGUGAUUCACCUCGAUGCGUGUCGAGAUGCAUCAGAGCAGCUCAGGCGCGAUCCAAGCGUCCCGGGCUCGGAAAUCCCGGCAGGAGCGGGGAUUGAUGGAGCGAGAGCCCGGGGCUGUGCCGGUGCCCCGGUAAGCAGAUUACACACGCGGCUGGGUGAGUGCCCUCACAGCCGGGCUGUCAGCGGCCCCAGCGAGGCACCACACGCGCUGUCACUGCUCAUCUCACCGUCCCCUCUCGGGGACAGCCCGGGGAUGCAGCGCGGGGGGACACGGGGGCAGCGGGCAAAGCCUGACCUCGGAAAGGCACCGGCUGCCCCGAGCGUCGUUCCGCGGGUACCGCAUUGCCACGGGAGGUGUUCUCCCAGCCUGCUUCUGCAGGGAAAGGACGGGAACGUCCCGGCGAGGUGUUGUCUCUCUCGCCUGCCUGACAGAGGCGUUCCCAAGCCCUCUAAAGGUGACAGCCACGAUGCCACCCUCGGCACAGCCGCUGUGUCACUGUGGCUGAGCAUCCCAGGCACAAACGCUGUGCCAAAGGCACGAACUCCAGGCAGGACGAGCCCCCAGCGAAGCCGAGCGCUGCCAGGACCAGGCCAGCUCGUUCCCAGGGAUACAGGACCUGGGCUGUGCCCGCUCGGCCCCGCCUCUGGAUGA